UACGAGGGGUGCAAGCGUUGCUCGGAAUUAUUGGGCGUAAAGGGUAGGUAGGUGGUCUCAUUUGUCAGGGGUGAAAGCCUUGGGCUUAACCCAAGAAGUGCCUCUGAAACGGUGAGACUGGAGUCUUGGAGAGGGUCGUGGAAUUCCCGGUGUAGCGGUGAAAUGCGUAGAGAUCGGGAGGAACACCAGCGGCGAAGGCGGCGACCUGGACAAGUACUGACACUCAACUACGAAAGCGUGGGUAGCAAACAGG
This 253-nucleotide ribosomal RNA is filed under the name uncultured bacterium. RNAcentral describes it as "partial 16S ribosomal RNA". It matches the Rfam family "Bacterial small subunit ribosomal RNA", at positions 524 to 776 of the family's 1533-position model. The record is from RNAcentral.